This 993-nucleotide ribosomal RNA is filed under the name uncultured beta proteobacterium. RNAcentral describes it as "bacterial SSU rRNA". It matches the Rfam family "Bacterial small subunit ribosomal RNA", at positions 496 to 1505 of the family's 1533-position model. The record is from RNAcentral. Lineage: Bacteria; Pseudomonadati; Pseudomonadota; Betaproteobacteria.
GCUACUACGUGCAGCAGCGCGUAUACGUAGGUGCGAGCGUAUCGAUACUGGCGUAAAGCGUGCGCAGCGUGUGCAAGACAGAUGUGAAAUCCCCGGGCUCAACCUGGGAACUGCAUUUGUGACUGCACGACUAGAGUACGGCAGAGGGGGGUAGAAUUCCACGUGUAGCAGUGAAAUGCGUAGAGAUGUGGAGGAAUACCGAUGGCGAAGGCAGCCCCCUGGGCCGAUACUGACGCUCAUGCACGAAAGCGUGGGGAGCAAACAGGAUUAGAUACCCUGGUAGUCACGCCCUAAACGAUGUCAACUAGUUGUUGGUAGGGUUAAACCUAUUAGUAACGUAGCUAACGCGUGAAGUUGACCGCCUGGGGAGUACGGUCGCAAGAUUAAAACUCAAAGGAAUUGACGGGGACCCGCACAAGCGGUGGAUGAUGUGGAUUAAUUCGAUGCAACGCGAAAAACCUUACCUACCCUUGACAUGUCAAGAAUCCCUGAGAGAUUAGGGAGUGCCGCAAGGAACUUGAACACAGGUGCUGCAUGGCUGCCGUCAGCUCGUGUCGUGAGAUGUUGGGUUAAGUCCCGCAACGAGCGCAACCCUUGUCAUUAGUUGCCAUCAUUUAGUUGGGCACUCUAAUGAGACUGCCGGUGACAAACCGGAGGAAGGUGGGGAUGACGUCAAGUCCUCAUGGCCCUUAUGGGUAGGGCUUCACACGUCAUACAAUGGUCGGUACAGAGGGUCGCUAACCCGCGAGGGGGUGCCAAUCUCAGAAAGCCGAUCGUAGUCCGGAUCGUAGUCUGCAACUCGACUACGUGAAGUCGGAAUCGCUAGUAAUCGCGGAUCAGAAUGCCGCGGUGAAUACGUUCCCGGGUCUUGUACACACCGCCCGUCACACCAUGGGAGUGGGUUUCACCAGAAGUAGCUAGCCUAACCGUAAGGGGGGCGGUUACCACGGUGAGAUUCAUGACUGGGGUGAAGUCGUAACAAGGUAACCAAUC